Molecule: ribosomal RNA, 497 nt
Filed under: uncultured bacterium
Lineage: Bacteria
Description: partial 16S ribosomal RNA
Rfam family: Bacterial small subunit ribosomal RNA
Source: RNAcentral
GACGAACGCUGGCGGCGUGCCUAAUACAUGCAAGUAGAACGCUGAAGAGAGGAGCUUGCUCUUCUUGGAUGAGUUGCGAACGGGUGAGUAACGCGUAGGUAACCUGCCUGGUAGCGGGGGAUAACUAUUGGAAACGAUAGCUAAUACCGCAUAAAAUUGAUUAUUGCAUGAUAAUUAAUUGAAAGAUGCAACUGCAUCACUACCAGAUGGACCUGCGUUGUAUUAGCUAGUUGGUGAGGUAACGGCUCACCAAGGCGACGAUACAUAGCCGACCUGAGAGGGUGAUCGGCCACACUGGGACUGAGACACGGCCCAGACUCCUACGGGAGGCAGCAGUAGGGAAGCUUCGGCAAUGGGGGGAACCCUGACCGAGCAACGCCGCGUGAGUGAAGAAGGUUUUCGGAUCGUAAAGCUCUGUUGUAAGAGAAGAACGGGUGUGAGAGUGGAAAGUUCACACUGUGACGGUAUCUUACCAGAAAGGGACGGCUAACUACGUG